GAUGAACGCUGGCGGCGUGCUUAACACAUGCAAGUCGAACGGUGAAGCGCCUUCCUUUUUGGUGGGUGUGGAUGAGUGGCGAACGGGUGAGUAACACGUGAGUAACCUGCCCCCUUCUUCUGGAUAACCGCAUGAAAGUGUGGCUAAUACGGGAUAUUCUGGGUCUGUCGCAUGAUGGGUCUGGGAAAGAUAUUGUUUCGGUGGGGGAUGGGCUCGCGGCCUAUCAGCUUGUUGGUGGGGUGAUGGCCUACCAAGGCGGUGACGGGUAGCCGGCCUGAGAGGGUGGACGGUCACACUGGGACUGAGACACGGCCCAGACUCCUACGGGAGGCAGCAGUGGGGAAUAUUGCACAAUGGGCGCAAGCCUGAUGCAGCGACGCCGCGUGAGGGAUGGAGGCCUUCGGGUUGUGAACCUCUUUCGCCAGUGAAGCAGGCCUGCCUCGUUUGUGGGUGGGUUGACGGUAGCUGGAGAAGAAGCGCCGGCUAACUACGUG
This 494-nucleotide ribosomal RNA is filed under the name uncultured bacterium. Its description in RNAcentral is "partial 16S ribosomal RNA". It matches the Rfam family "Bacterial small subunit ribosomal RNA", at positions 28 to 507 of the family's 1533-position model. The record is from RNAcentral.